GGGGGUAUCGCCAAGCGGUAAGGCAUAGCACUUUGACUGCUAAAUUCGUUGGUUCAAAUCCAACUACCCCUGCUA
Molecule: transfer RNA, 75 nt
Filed under: Ruminococcus sp. OF05-2BH
Lineage: Bacteria; Bacillati; Bacillota; Clostridia; Eubacteriales; Oscillospiraceae
Also listed under: 1 other name
Description: tRNA-Gln
Rfam family: tRNA
About the family: Transfer RNA (tRNA) molecules are approximately 80 nucleotides in length. Their secondary structure includes four short double-helical elements and three loops (D, anti-codon, and T loops).
Source: RNAcentral